This 659-nucleotide long non-coding RNA is filed under the name Homo sapiens (human). RNAcentral describes it as "non-protein coding lnc-FOXD1-7:1". The record is from RNAcentral. Lineage: Eukaryota; Metazoa; Chordata; Mammalia; Primates; Hominidae.
GUGAUGGUCCAGCGAGUCCCUAUUCUCCUCCUCCUGCUCCAGCGGCUGCCGGCUGUAGGCCCUACGAGAGACUGCUGGCUUGGGGCGCAGCCCGUACCUCUGGGAGAGGCCACAAAGGGGUCGGAGAGCGCGGUCCUGUGCACAGUUAGGGUUAAGUCCGCUCAGUCUCCAUUGGGCCCUGAUCCUGAAGUUCUGUGCCCUCCGAAGAAAGGGCCUAUUCACGUUUCCUGGAGACGCCGGAGGUGCCCAGCUUGUGCUCACCACUCAAGCAGCUCUCCCCUUGCUGGAGGUGUGGGUUGGAGAAUUGCAGAAUUUCCCUCUCGGCCCGAAUGAGCCAUUACCAAAGCAUUUUGUCAAAAAUAGUGAAGUUAGUUUGGCCUUCCAAGGUUAGGUGGUGUGGUAGAUUGCGGGACCGAGGUUCAGAAUUUCUGGGGGCUGUAUCCCCGAGCCCCACUCCUCAGAAUGCAACUCUGUACGACGAAGGAACUGGGUACCGAAUUGGCAUGGAUUUGACAAUUAGCGAUUCACGGUUAAGCAGACUUUAUCUAUCUUAAUCCAAUCAAAGGAGAAUUUCUGCCUGCUGUGUUUGGAGAGACAACGCGUGGAUGUGAGUUAAACUUUGUUAAACCCAGGACAAGCUUUAAGAUAAAACGACUGAU